RNAcentral lists this ribosomal RNA (253 nucleotides) under uncultured bacterium. RNAcentral describes it as "partial 16S ribosomal RNA". It matches the Rfam family "Bacterial small subunit ribosomal RNA", at positions 524 to 776 of the family's 1533-position model. The record is from RNAcentral.
UACGUAGGGGGCAAGCGUUGUCCGGAUUUAUUGGGCGGAAAGAGCGUGUAGGCGGUUCGGUAGGUCCGUUGUGAAAACUCGAGGCUCAACCUCGAGACGCCGAUGGAAACCCUCGAACUAGAGUCCGGAAGAGGAGAGUGGAAUUCCUGGUGUAGCGGUGAAAUGCGCAGAUAUCAGGAAGAACACCCGUGGCUAAGGCGGCUCUCUAGUACGGUACUGACGCUGAGACGCGAAAGCGUGGGGAGCAAACAGG